This 688-nucleotide long non-coding RNA is filed under the name Physcomitrium patens. Its description in RNAcentral is "long non-coding RNA (PPAT_LNC009019)". The record is from RNAcentral. Lineage: Eukaryota; Viridiplantae; Streptophyta; Bryopsida; Funariales; Funariaceae.
GUGUGUGUGUGUGUGUGUGUGUGUAACUUAUGUAACUAUAAAUAAUAAUAUAAAUAAACAAAAGUAGGUAGAAAAAUGUUACAUAGAUAAUAUCUCAUUUAAAAAAACAUUAAAGAAGUUUCUUAGAUAUGGAUUAGAAGUUUUUAUUCUUAUAGAUUUGUCAUGUGGCUAUUAAAACUUGUCUUAAAAGCAUAUUAUUUUUAAAAAGUUGUGUUGGAAUCAACUUAAAACUUCAGAUUUGCACCACAAGCCUCACAUUUCUUACAAAGUUUUACAAGACCUUCUUGGAAGCAUGUAUAUAUAGAGGCAAAAUUGAGGCUAUUCUCAAUCUCAUCGAUAAAUUUCUUGUAUUCAAUAUAACAUCAUAUAACCAUGAUUAACUUCAAAAAUAAUAUUUACUUCACAAAUAAAAUAAGCAUUCAAAAUAAAAUUACUCUGUUCAAUAUAUAUAUAUAUAUAUAUAUAUUAAUGAAUUACAAUGGAUAAGUGUUAACCUAAUUGAUAUGAAAUUUUACAUUUUGUACCUAUGCUGAACUCCAUGCUACUGAAUUGUUUUUUUUUGAAAGAACGGAAUAUCUCUCAAAAGUAGAAUGAAGAAAGUGGUUCUCAAGACAAUGAGCACCUAACCAGAUACAAAUUACUCAAAAAAAAUAUAUUUUAUAAUGAUCUUUUUUGGGCUUCUUACAAC